AUUGAACGCUGGCGGCAGGCUUAACACAUGCAAGUCGAGCGGGGUGAUGGUGCUUGCACUAUCACUUAGCGGCGGACGGGUGAGUAAUGCUUAGGAAUCUGCCUAUCAGUGGGGGACAACAUCUCGAAAGGGAUGCUAAUACCGCAUACGUCCUACGGGAGAAAGCAGGGGAUCACUUGUGACCUUGCGCUAAUAGAUGAGCCUAAGUCGGAUUAGCUAGUUGGUGGGGUAAAGGCCUACCAAGGCGACGAUCUGUAGCGGGUCUGAGAGGAUGAUCCGCCACACUGGGACUGAGACACGGCCCAGACUCCUACGGGAGGUAGCAGUGGGGAAUAUUGGACAAUGGGGGGAACCCUGAUCCAGCCAUGCCGCGUGUGUGAAGAAGGCCUUACGGUUGUAAAGCACUUUAAGCGAGGAGGAGGCUCUUUUGGUUAAUACCCAAGAUGAGUGGACGUUACUCGCAGAAUAAGCACCGGCUAACUCUGUGCCAGCAGCCGCCGUAA
Molecule: ribosomal RNA, 503 nt
Filed under: uncultured bacterium
Lineage: Bacteria
Description: partial 16S ribosomal RNA
Rfam family: Bacterial small subunit ribosomal RNA
Source: RNAcentral